CCUCGACGGCGGACGCUUGCCGAGCGGUUACUAACUUUUCUCCCGGUGCGGUUCCCGCCUCUCCUCCGGGGCUGCGGACCGCGUCAGAUGCCCCGCCCAGGGGCAGCGGCGGCGACGCAGGGACGCUGUCCAGCCCCGGACGCUAAAUAACAAGCUCGCCGCGUCCUCUUUGCUGGAGCUGCGAGCCCCCCGCAACCCGGGCGCCGCGGGGCGGAGUACCAAGGAUGAAGAGCUAGUUGGGCCUGGAGGUGAGCCGAGACACCCAGGACCCUAAAGCUAGGCCAGCAAAGCCGACUGGAGAGAUCUGAAGGUCACCAAAGGCUGAGUACCAGGAGGCUGCGCCCAUGGUAGGGGCAUGGAGGUGAGCUCUGCAGAGGAAUUGGGAAGUUGAGUUGUUGUCGAGGCUUCCUUUUCCCUGCUGUAUGACCCUGGGCAUGUUAUUUAACCUCAGUUUCCCCACGUGUAAAAUGAGGCUGACACCCUCUCCCUCCCAGAGCUUUCGUGAAAAAUAAAAGAGAUGAUGGAUGGGUGAAGGAAGGAAACUCUCCAACGAGCAUGAAGAAAAUGGUGCUGAGUCUGUGUGUGAGUCCCCAUGUUCAGCAUUGCUUCCAUUCCAAGAGCUCCCUUGAGGGAACUGGAGUCAAAUAGUUUGACAUUUUUAAAUGGCUGCCCUGCCAAACAGAGUGACAAGUGUUCUGGGUGGGAGGAGAGGUGUGGGGGGAGGCUUAGUGCUCUGAGAGCACUUCCUUUCCUCUAUCUCACCUUAAAGAAUGAGAAUCUCCAGGCUGUCCUCCUUCCCAGUUCCACCUCCCCCCACCCAGAGACCUGUGCUCUCGCCUGGACUCCUCAGGGCAGGAGUCACUUAUGCCUGGAGGAAUGUUUUUUUCCCCCAUCAAACUUAGGGUCCAAAUGGAAGCAAAGGCUGAAACCCCAGUGGAAAGUAAACUAACUCCUCACCUUCUUGAUUUUCCCAACUGUGAAAUGGGACCAUAGGUGGUGAGUCACUAAUGACGAGGUGCCAUUUGGACUGGUAGGUGACCUCUAGAAGUUACUGAAUCCAUUGCCUCACCUUCCACACACCUCCUACCCACCCCUCCUUCCCACACCUGCAACAGGAUUAUUAUCUCCACAGGCAAGACAACUCCACCAGGCUCCUUGGGGAUGACAGCCACUGUUUGUCAAAUCAGGAAGUCCAUCUGACAGUCUACCUUAAAUGUCUCACUUCUUCCUUCAGGGAAAAGUUAAAGAAUGGACAAUAAAAGAUAAACGCUUAUGGAUGGGCGAGACUACACUAUUUAAAAAAAAAUACCCCCAAAGAGGGCUGAGAUGGGAAUUACUUUCGGACACAAUGCUCUUUACACUAAACAUCUUGGUGAUAAAUAUAGCUGUGUAAUUCUUUUUUCUCCUUGGCAGAGAGAAAGGCUGAGGCUGGGCAGAAAGGCAGAGGGACCCGAAAAUAUAAAUCAAUAUAUGACUUUAA
Molecule: non-coding RNA, 1480 nt
Organism: Vicugna pacos (alpaca)
Lineage: Eukaryota; Metazoa; Chordata; Mammalia; Artiodactyla; Camelidae
Source: RefSeq, a predicted model, not a curated record